RNAcentral lists this transfer RNA (73 nucleotides) under Anaerolineae bacterium. RNAcentral's name for it is "tRNA-Arg". It matches the Rfam family "tRNA". From Rfam's summary of the family: Transfer RNA (tRNA) molecules are approximately 80 nucleotides in length. Their secondary structure includes four short double-helical elements and three loops (D, anti-codon, and T loops). Further hydrogen bonds mediate the characteristic L-shaped molecular structure. tRNAs have two regions of fundamental functional importance: the anti-codon, which is responsible for specific mRNA codon recognition, and the 3' end, to which the tRNAs corresponding amino acid is attached (by aminoacyl-tRNA synthetases). tRNAs cope with the degeneracy of the genetic code in two manners: having more than one tRNA (with a specific anti-codon) for a particular amino acid; and 'wobble' base-pairing, i.e. permitting non-standard base-pairing at the 3rd anti-codon position. The record is from RNAcentral. Lineage: Bacteria; Bacillati; Chloroflexota; Anaerolineae.
GCCCUCGUAGCUCAAUGGAUAGAGCAGUGGCCUUCUAAGCCAAAGGUUGCAGGUUCGAAUCCUGCCGGGGGCA